This 267-nucleotide long non-coding RNA is filed under the name Nicotiana benthamiana. RNAcentral describes it as "long non-coding RNA (NBEN_LNC033815)". Lineage: Eukaryota; Viridiplantae; Streptophyta; Magnoliopsida; Solanales; Solanaceae. The record is from RNAcentral.
CUGCCUUCUGAUAUUCUCCCUCUCUCAAAGGUUCCCUGGAAUCCAAGCCUCUCUCAUCCUCUCCAAUCAUAACCUCACCGGAAUUAAUGGCUUCUCAGGCCAUGGAAAGCCUAUACUCACCCCCUCCACCUUUAAACCAUGGGUGUUCAAACUUUCGAGGUUUGACCUCGAUGGUAUUCUUUUAAAUAUUCUCGGAUUCAUGAAUUUGAGGCCUAUCCGGCCUCACUCGGCAUAUCCAGCAGCAGGAGCCUAUUUCUAACCUUUCCG